GGGCCCGUAGCUUAACGGAUAGAGCAGUCGCCUUCGGAGCGAAAGGUUGAGGGUUCGAAUCCCUUCGGGCUCG
This 73-nucleotide transfer RNA is filed under the name Candidatus Diapherotrites archaeon CG11_big_fil_rev_8_21_14_0_20_37_9. Its description in RNAcentral is "tRNA-Arg". It matches the Rfam family "tRNA". Rfam says of the family: Transfer RNA (tRNA) molecules are approximately 80 nucleotides in length. Their secondary structure includes four short double-helical elements and three loops (D, anti-codon, and T loops). The record is from RNAcentral. Lineage: Archaea; Nanobdellati; Candidatus Iainarchaeota.